UACGAGGGGGGCGAGCGUUGUUCGGAGUUACUGGGCGUAAAGGGUGUGUAGGCGGUUGUUUAAGUUUGGUGUGAAAUCUCCCGGCUCAACUGGGAGGGUGCGCCGAAUACUGAAUGACUUGGAGUGCGGGAGAGGAAAGUGGAAUUCCUGGUGUAGCGGUGAAAUGCGUAGAUAUCAGGAGGAACACCGGUGGUGUAAACGGCUUUCUGGACCAUAACUGACGCUGAGGCACGAAAGCGUGGGUAGCAAACAGG
RNAcentral lists this ribosomal RNA (254 nucleotides) under uncultured bacterium. RNAcentral describes it as "partial 16S ribosomal RNA". It matches the Rfam family "Bacterial small subunit ribosomal RNA", at positions 524 to 776 of the family's 1533-position model. The record is from RNAcentral.